UACGGAGGGGGCUAGCGUUGUUCGGAAUCACUGGGCGUAAAGGGCGCGUAGGCGGCUUUAUAAGUCGGGGGUGAAAGCCUGUGGCUCAACCACAGAAUUGCCUUCGAUACUGUAUGGCUUGAGACCGGAAGAGGUAAGUGGAACUGCGAGUGUAGAGGUGAAAUUCGUAGAUAUUCGCAAGAACACCAGUGGCGAAGGCGGCUUACUGGUCCGGUUCUGACGCUGAGGCGCGAAAGCGUGGGGAGCAAACAGG
Molecule: ribosomal RNA, 253 nt
Filed under: uncultured bacterium
Lineage: Bacteria
Description: partial 16S ribosomal RNA
Rfam family: Bacterial small subunit ribosomal RNA
Source: RNAcentral